UACAGAGGUGGCAAGCGUUGUUCGGAAUUACUGGGCGUAAAGGGCGCGUAGGCGGUCCCAUAAGUCCUGUGUGAAAUCCCCUGGCUCAACUGGGGAAUUGCACGGGAAACUGUGAGGCUUGAGUUCGGGAGAGGGAAGCGGAAUUCCGGGUGUAGCGGUGAAAUGCGUAGAUAUCCGGAGGAACACCGGUGGCGAAGGCGGCUUCCUGGACCGACACUGACGCUGAGGCGCGAAAGCUAGGGGAGCAAACGGG
This 253-nucleotide ribosomal RNA is filed under the name uncultured bacterium. Its description in RNAcentral is "partial 16S ribosomal RNA". It matches the Rfam family "Bacterial small subunit ribosomal RNA", at positions 524 to 776 of the family's 1533-position model. The record is from RNAcentral.